Molecule: unclassified non-coding RNA, 356 nt
Filed under: fungal sp.
Lineage: Eukaryota; Fungi
Description: partial internal transcribed spacer region
Rfam family: Eukaryotic small subunit ribosomal RNA (bases 1-46)
Source: RNAcentral
AAGUCGUAACAAGGUUUCCGUAGGUGAACCUGCGGAAGGAUCAUUACCAAUCCAAAACUGUGGGGUGACUGUAGCGUAGUAGUGCUGGCAACAGUGCUGCUGUCUGCAUGAUCCACUCAACCACAAACACAUUGUGAACCAGUGACUGCUUGUGUUCCUUUGGGAAUGUGUGCAGCCUUUGGCUGAAGCUAGCGAGAUAUAGCAAUGACAAAGUCUUGUACUGCGUCUGAGAUAUAUUAUAAUGCGAACCUUUAGCCGAGGGACCUAUAAACAACCAUAUACUUUAUACUUACAGUCUUAAACAUACAAUAUACUAUAAACUAAUACAACCUUUAACAAUGGAUCUCUUGGUUCCC